RNAcentral lists this ribosomal RNA (253 nucleotides) under uncultured bacterium. Its description in RNAcentral is "partial 16S ribosomal RNA". It matches the Rfam family "Bacterial small subunit ribosomal RNA", at positions 524 to 776 of the family's 1533-position model. The record is from RNAcentral.
UACGGAGGGCGCGAGCGUUACUCGGAAUUACUGGGCGUAAAGCGCGCGUAGGCUGUUGUGUAAGUUGGGGGUGAAGUCCCACGGCUCAACCGUGGAACAGCCCUUGAUACUGCGCGACUUGAAUCCGGGAGAGGGUGGCGGAAUUCCAGGUGUAGGAGUGAAAUCCGUAGAUAUCUGGAGGAACAUCAGUGGCGAAGGCGGCCACCUGGACCGGUAUUGACGCUGAGGCGCGAAAGCGUGGGGAGCAAACAGG